This 1654-nucleotide long non-coding RNA is filed under the name Salarias fasciatus (jewelled blenny). RNAcentral's name for it is "lncRNA (ENSSFAG00005008741.1)". The record is from RNAcentral. Lineage: Eukaryota; Metazoa; Chordata; Actinopteri; Blenniiformes; Blenniidae.
CCUUAUAAGGCGCAGUGGUGAGGUCGUCUUGGAAGACACAGGCGAGUUGUUCCAGACUCCCACACUGAACAGGACCUCCUCCUUCCACCUGCGGAACAUUCCUAAAAUCAGGAACAUGUUGACUCAGAGCUGAGAACUGAAUCCAGAGUGGAACUACUGGAAUUCCCUGUUAUCAGGAACCAACAACUGGAUAACAAGUCUGAGUUCUGAGGAGGACCAGCAGGAGAACCAGCAGGAGGACCAGCAGGAGGACCAGCAGGAGAACCAGCAGGAGGACCAGCAGGAGGACCAGCAGGAGGACCAGCAGGAGGACCAGCAGGAGACCUGACAGGAGACCAGUAGGAGAACCAGCAGGAGGACCAGCAGGAGGACCAGCAGGAGAACCAGCAGGAGGACCAGCAGGAGAACCAGCAGGAGGACCAGCAGGAGGACCAGCAGGAGGACCAGCAGGAGGACCAGUAGGAGGACCAGCAGGAGAACCAGCAGGAGGACCAGCAGGAGGACCAGCAGGAGGACCAGCAGGAGGACCAGUAGGAGGACCAGCAGGAGAACCAGCAGGAGGACCAGCAGGAGGACCAGCAGGAGAACCAGCAGGAGGACCAGCAGGAGAACCAGCAGGAGGACCAGCAGGAGGACCAGUAGGAGGACCAGCAGGAGGACCAGCAGGAGAACCAGCAGGAGGACCAGCAGGAGAACCAGUAGGAGGACCAGCAGGAGAACCAGUAGGAGGACCAGCAGGAGGACCAGCAGGAGAACCAGCAGGAGGACCAGCAGGAGAACCAGUAGGAGGACCAGCAGGAGAACCAGCAGGAGGCCUGGCAGGAGAACCAGCAGGAGGACCAGCAGGAGGCCUGGCAGGAGAACCAGCAGGAGGACCAGCAGGAGACCCAGCAGGAGGACCAGUAGGAGGACCAGCAGGAGACCUGACAGGAGACCCAGUAGGAGAACCAGCAGGAGGACCAGCAGGAGGACCAGCAGGAGGACCAGCAGGAGACCCAGCAGGAGGACCAGUAGGAGGACCAGCAGGAGAACCAGCAGGAGGACCAGUAGGAGGACCAGCAGGAGGACCAGCAGGAGGACCAGUAGGAGGACCAGCAGGAGAACCAGCAGGAGGACCAGCAGGAGGACCAGCAGGAGACCUGACAGGAGACCCAGCAGGAGACCCAGCAGGAGACCCAGCAGGAGGACCAGCAGGAGACCCAGCAGGAGGACCAGUAGGAGGACCAGCAGGAGAACCAGCAGGAGGACCAGUAGGAGGACCAGCAGGAGGACCAGCAGGAGGACCAGCAGGAGACCCAGCAGGAGGACUAGCAGGAGAACCAGCAGGAGACCCAGCAGGACAAUAUGAGCUUCUCUUCACUGGUUCCUGUAAAUCUAGAACAGAAUUUAACCAGGAACAACCAGGAACCAGAUCUUACAGAGCUGUUAGUCCCAGACUGGUUCUCAGAGUGCUGGUCUGCUGGAGGUUCCUGGGUUCUCUAACAGUAGAACCUUGUGGAACAAGGUCCCAGGUUGGGUCUCUGCUUCAGACCUUCGGAGUCGGUAGAGCUUCAGGUAGAGCUGCUGCAGGACGAGCUGGAGCUGGAGUCCCUGCAUCGGGCUUCUCCUGUGUCCUUUCUCACUCGGAUGUGUCAACAACGUGUCUCUCUCGUCC